CCUACGGGAGGCUGCAGUGGGGGAUAUUGGACAAUGGGGGAAACCCUGAUCCAGCGACGCAGCGUGAGUGAAGAAGUAUUUCGGUAUGUAAAGCUCUAUCAGCAGGGAAGAAAGAAAUGACGGUACCUGAGUAAGAAGCCCCGGCUAACUACGUGCCAGCAGCCGCGGUAAUACGGAGGGGGCAAGCGUUAUCCGGAAUUACUGGGUGUAAAGGGAGCGUAGGCGGUAAUGCAAGUCUGGUGUGAAAGGCGGGGGCCCAACCCCCGGACUGCUCUGGAAACUGUGUAACUGGAGUGUAGGGGAGGCAGGCGGAAUUCCUGGUGUAGCGGUGAAAUGCGUAGAUAUUAGGAGGAACACCAGUGGCGAAGGCGGCCUGCUGGACUGUAACUGACGUUGAGGCUCGAAAGCGUGGGGAGCAAACAGGAUUAGAUACCCGAGUAGUC
This 443-nucleotide ribosomal RNA is filed under the name uncultured bacterium. Its description in RNAcentral is "partial 16S ribosomal RNA". It matches the Rfam family "Bacterial small subunit ribosomal RNA", at positions 338 to 795 of the family's 1533-position model. The record is from RNAcentral.